Molecule: long non-coding RNA, 2189 nt
Organism: Macaca mulatta (Rhesus monkey)
Lineage: Eukaryota; Metazoa; Chordata; Mammalia; Primates; Cercopithecidae
Source: Ensembl
UGUCCUGCAGCCUGGGAGUAAGUGGCCUCAGCCCUGAGACUUCAUAGACCUGAGAAGUACCCUCAGCUUCUUCUGCACAAAUCUCCUCCUCUGUCUUCGCACAGUUGCCUUGAGGAGGUGACAUGUGUCUCUCAGUCACCAAUUAGAGAUGAUGCUUCAAAAGCAAGUGUACCCCAGAACAAAGGCUUUUGUUUUCACUCUGAGGUGUAAAUGAUUUAAAAAAUAUAUGUAGCCAGAGCAAAGAGGAAGUGGGAGAAAGCUGGCCAGCAAGGGGAAGGGGAAAUGGGACUUUCCCAGCAAGAAGAAUCUGAAACGUGGGAUAAAGAACACGCGGAGGAUCUACAGUGACUUACUUACAAUUUUAACUAAGUCUUGCCUUUCGCUGACACUGAGUGAAAGUGCUUGACUGAUGUCUUGGAUAUCUUUAAAGCAAGGGGACCACUGACACUCUUCUGAUCAUCUUGUCUCCAUUGCACAUGGAUUGAUUACUCUUCCCUGCUGAGAAAGGCACAGGUUCCUGGAUGCUCUUCAUAAACCUUACGAAGAGAACCCAGGGCCCAAGAGAUUCAGCUGGUUCCAGUCUUGCUGAGAAAGGCUGUUCCUUCGUUUCAGCAUCUGGCUUCAUUUUGUGCUUUCUUAGAAAUCUCCAUGUGAGGAAGAAAAAGUUAUCUGCAUACAUUUCUUCUGAAAUAGAUCACUGUACAGGAUGGCUGACGCACCUGACAAUUCAGUAUGUGGAUCCUUCUUGGAAGUAACAGAGCACGCUGGCCAAAGAAUUACUGCAAAAAUGCUCCUAAAUCAAAUAAACGAGGAAAAGAACAGGAGCUGAUAAUGCUGUUUUUUGUUAAUGCUCUUUUUGUAAACUACUUUUUGGAAGAUAAACCUCUUGUGGGAAGGCCAGGUACUAUACUCCUUCAUUGCCUUAGAUGAUCCAAGAGACUGAGUAAUCAAGAUGGAGCAAAGAACAAGAAGAGUGUCUGCAACACUUUAAACUUCACAAAGAAGGUACCAGGCAGAAGGGGACAAUUGCAGUGACUGAUUUUCCUGACAAAAUGACAGUGUCUUGACAAUGGCUAUGAAGUCUUGAUGACCCUUAACAUCUCAUAGAACAAAGAAGUCAGUAGAGCAAGGUGAAAAUAUUAAAGGGGGAAUACACGAAACACAAAAGAAAGAUGACAGGGUGACAAGUUAAACAUAAUCCAUGGAAUAAGAAACGUCAGAAGCCUCCUCCACAGUACACCUACAAACACGUGCCCUUUUGUUAAUAGCUAAAAGAGGGCCUCUCACUGUAACUCCUUAACUUCCUUGGUGGAGGGAAAUCAGAUGGCUAGAAAGUGUGAUGGUGCCUGGUGUGAAAGACUCAACUGGGCAAUACAUCCAGCAAGCUGCAUUUCACCUUCAUCAGUCUUUUAUUUGUACCCCCUUAAUCCUGGUUAUUGAAGUCUUCCGACUCUACCUCAUCUCUCCUUUUAUUGUCCCACUCAUAAAAUCUGAUAGGAGUUAAUAGAUUAGACAUAUUUACUGAUUAGGGCAGACAUAUUCCUCAUAUGUACUGAGGAAGAGCGAUAGGGGGAUCACCUUGGCAUGAAACCCUCUAAUGGGAGCCAAUUUUCAAGAAGAUAAGAAAAUAAUCAGCCACUUGUGAUCUUCUUUGUUUAAUUAUAUGAGACCCUAUCCAAAUUUUCAAUCCACCGUCACUGACCUCUGAGGAUCUUUGAUGCCUUUGACCUGGCUCCAGUGGAGUACCCUCCAUUCUUCCAAAUAGUCCACCCAUUUGCCUUGGCCUUAAAUUCCACCAUGAAGGGAGAGUCUUUUAUUUUAAGCAUUUCUUUUUAUCUAAUAAUAAAAGAGUAAAUAAGAUAAUGGGAUUCAAAAUAACAUAAUGCAAAUUAAUUAUUCAUGUCAGUUUCUCUACUAGAAGAAAUACAAUAGUUGAUUAAGGAUCAGAGGAAGGCAAAUCCUUCAAUGAUGCACUGAAAGAAAGAGCUGAAGAAUUUGGAGCAAGAGGCAACAAUUAUCUUAACAAAUAUUUUUUAUAUUAUAAUUCUUUUUCCCUCUGGACAUGAGGUACAGAUAAUUGAGUUCAUGAUUCAAUUCAUGGGUCAUUAUCAUCACUGGCCACAGCAAGACUUUAUUUUUUAAAAUUUUUUCCAUUUUACUUCCAUUCCUCAUUCCCAUUCCACUUUCCC